Long non-coding RNA from Nerophis lumbriciformis (worm pipefish), 850 nucleotides. RefSeq lists it as uncharacterized. NCBI's taxonomy places the organism in Eukaryota, Metazoa, Chordata, Actinopteri, Syngnathiformes, Syngnathidae. The record is from RefSeq and is a predicted model, not a curated record.
CUGUAAGGGGGAAUGUGUCGUUGUUUGAGGUGGGACUCACUUCAGUGUAACACCAAACAAUGGACAUGAGAAGCGGCCUUCGUUCAUGUUGAAACAAAGUUAUGAAGAGAAAACAGCAAAAACAGGUGACCUCAGCUGGCGUGACGGUGAGCGGCGUGUCACAGGUGCCCAGAGGAUGGCAGCUCACAGGACGGCCAGCCUCGGGCGGAGACUCCAGUGCCAGACACAGCAGGUCCAGAAAAGGAUAUCCUGCCCAAGCGGAAAUGUAUCGUCUUUAUCGUACAUAAUGGAAAAAAAUGGUUGGGUUGGACCAAAAAGUUGUUUCAUUUUAAAGAUGAUUGGCAGUGAAGAACUUGCGUCAAUCAGCCUGUAGACGGCUUUCCGUCCUGGGACCGUGCUCUUCUCCGGAUCCUCGCUGAUCUUCAUCCUUGGCUUGCCUUGUACCUCCACGAGCUUCCACACAAAACACAACGUAAACCCCACAGGACCACAACCACUCAGGGUGUUUUUGUUUUUAAACCACCUUGUACACACAACCCAGCGAGGGCUGUUUGGUGCAGGUGACCAGAUGCGUUCCAACACCGACCACGUCGAUUUCGUUCUCCUGAGGGAUGAGCACGUGAGGAGCUAGGACGGAUACAAGGGAAGAAGAUCGAAACGUUUGUCACCUUGGUGUUGAGUUCCACCAUGGUUUGCUCUGAGAUGUUGUUGCUCCCAACAAUGGUCAGCGAGUCGAAGGCCGAGAUGGAGAAGCUAGAAAACGUAAAGAUUUGAUAAUAAUAACAUCUACUGUAGUUCUAUCAGUUGUGGGGGGAGACAUGAGCACGCUGGCACCUCACUCACUGCUCAC